Molecule: long non-coding RNA, 1723 nt
Filed under: Rattus norvegicus (Norway rat)
Lineage: Eukaryota; Metazoa; Chordata; Mammalia; Rodentia; Muridae
Description: long non-coding RNA NONRATT016147
Source: RNAcentral
GCAUUCCAAACUGCCAUGCUCUCUAUACCACUGGUUGAUACAGCAAAAGGGAGUAUGUCUUCCUCGGAGGAGUAAAGUGUUAAUUGAACACUAAACCUGAGAAAAUGAGACUUUGUCUUCAGAAGCUGAGAACUUCCAUUUUUGCCUUUAUGACCUUUGUGUGCUCACUGGUUGGUAUAAUUAUGAGGGUAUUUCUGGGUGCUUUUUGUACAAUUUACUCCCCUUCCCCAAACAAUUGAAGAACAAUUUGUAGACCAUAAUAGUUGUAGCACUUUCUAUGGUGGUGUUAUAAAAGGAAAAUGCAUCUUUUUUUAUUAAUUUAAUCUUGAUGAGUAAAUUGUUUUAUUUAGAAUGAAGUAAUCUCAAAAUAACAAAUACUCCACAUAAGAACAGUAAUAAGCUAUAAUAGAUUCUUUCAACAGCUAAUGUUUGCCUACAACAUGUUGUAUUCUGUCCUAGGCACUGAGGGUAUAGCUGUGUAAGCACCCCCCCCCCCCCCGUUAUAGAGCUUUUAGUGGAGGCGACUGUACAGUAUGCCAAGUGAUAACACUGUAAAGCACUUAGCAGGGUGUAAGGACUACUGUGACUGGAGAUGGGUGCUAUUGUAUGUAGAGUAGUUAGAAAGUUCCAUCUAAGCUGCCUUCAAAUUCUAUCCUGUUGUUUCUCAUGCCUUGUAUUCAGUACACUCAGAUAUUUUCCUAUGCUUAAGAUCUUCUCCUUUGUUGUAUUUAAUGUCUUUCUCAUCUGUUUCUAAUGCAUGCUGCCUAAAGCCUUGGGUUCUUCAUUCAUCUCAAGUGGUUUUCUUUCUACCCUCCAGUUCCCUUUUCUAUUUUCUAUAAGGUUAUUACAUCUGCCCACAGAAACCAAAACUCUAUAGUGUCUUUAGCAUUACUUCCUAUAUAUCUUAAACACAAUGUGAGGUAGUGUUGUGUGAAACAUUACAUUAAGAGGUACUUAAUAUAGACACAACAUAUGUAUUAUAUCAUGCUGGUGUUUGGUAGCUUUUGCUUUCCUGCUUCUAGUAAAAAUUUAUCUUCAGUUUGAAUUUUCUGCUGUUCAUUAAAUGUAAAAUGUUAUAGGAUUUUCAACAAUCCUUAAAUGUUUAUCAUUCUUUACUCAGUAUGGAUUUCCUGAUGUGGAGUAGACUUUAAGACUUGAUUUAAGAGCCUGUCUCUUGCUAUGUUUAUAGGCUGUCUGGCUGGCUGCUGUGCAUUAUUUGAUGUUAAGGCGCAUAUGGUGACAUCCUCUUACCUUUGCAUACAGUGGAGAGAGGUGAAAGUCAUGACUAAGAGGGCACCAUAAAAGAUACAUUCCCAGCUUCAGUCUCGUGCUCAGUAUUGUGAUGUUCAUUAAAGUAUCAACUGUGUCUGAAGGUGUUCUCAGUGAUCUUCAUGAUGUUUUCAAAACCCACUGCUACUAACAUGGUCCACUUGUACAUUGCUUGACUCCUUGGGCCCUUUUAUAACUCUAUGAGGAUACUUCAUCUGCCACAGUAUCCAGGAUUCCAUAGUUCUCUAGUAUUACUUACCCUGAAUUUAUUUAAUAUAAAAUGAAAUAUAUUAUAGAAGUAUUAUAUCAAUAUAAGCUUAAGAUAGCCAGAAUUAAAAGUAUUCAUUAUGUAUUAUGCCGGCGUUUAGUAGUUUUGUUUUUGCAACUUUUAGUGACAUUUUCCAGCUACAGUGUUUUGGAGCAUAUGAUUAAUAAAAUAAAGUGACAUUCCCCU